UACGUAGGGGGCAAGCGUUGUCCGGAAUUAUUGGGCGUAAAGCGCGCGCAGGCGGCUAUUUAAGUCUGGUGUUUAAACCUUGGGCUCAACCUGAGGUCGCACUGGAAACUGGGUGGCUCGAGUACAGAAGAGGAAAGUGGAAUUCCACGUGUAGCGGUGAAAUGCGUAGAGAUGUGGAGGAACACCAGUGGCGAAGGCGACUUUCUGGGCUGUAACUGACGCUGAGGCGCGAAAGCGUGGGGAGCAAACAGG
Molecule: ribosomal RNA, 252 nt
Filed under: uncultured bacterium
Lineage: Bacteria
Description: partial 16S ribosomal RNA
Rfam family: Bacterial small subunit ribosomal RNA
Source: RNAcentral